Long non-coding RNA from Octopus sinensis (East Asian common octopus), 277 nucleotides. RefSeq lists it as uncharacterized. The record is from RefSeq and is a predicted model, not a curated record. The transcript has 3 exons. NCBI's taxonomy places the organism in Eukaryota, Metazoa, Mollusca, Cephalopoda, Octopoda, Octopodidae.
GAUCGAAUUUAAUGGUUAGAAGUUUCUACGCAGUUAAAUUUCUGAGAAAUCCCGGUCGACAGAUCCGGAAAUCUUCAAUGUAUGACGAGGAAGCCAUAACAUGGGUUAAUCGAGAAGAGCACUUUACGAAAAAGAAGAAAUUUACAGGGGUAGGCCCAAUCGAAAUGGAUCCUCAAAAUUUACCUCCUCCGUCUGCAAAUAUUGAUUCAACCGCGUUGUCUUUUUAUCAACAACGACCUUUUUGUAGUGGAAAUGGAGGAAAGAUAUAUUGUUCAAG